ACUCAUCACAUCGAGUCUAAAAGUCAUUUAAGCUGUGAGCGUUGGGAGGUCACACUCCCAUGUAUGA
RNAcentral lists this ribozyme (67 nucleotides) under unclassified sequences. Its description in RNAcentral is "pistol ribozyme". It matches the Rfam family "Pistol ribozyme". The record is from RNAcentral.